CAGUAACUGAAUACCUGAGGCUGCUUUGAUGGCACGUUCUUAUCUUCCCAGCAAAGUUUCAUAAAUUGUUGAAUUAUGGAGAAAGGAUCUCAACAAGGUAAAUCCAAAGGCUGCUGAAUCGUUGGCAGAUCCACAGGAGUAUCCAAAUUUGUUUGAUGCCUGGCAAAUUGCUCUAGCUGGUAUACUCCUCCCAUACAUAUACUGUUCUUUUUUGAAUGGUUUUAGGUGAGCAAAAUAUGUCAAAGUAGAUAGAAUAUAUGUGAUGGACUUAUACUCAUUUUUCUUUCUCGUGCUUUAGUGAUGGUAACCUCAUCCAAUGAUCCUAACUGCUAAUUUGGAAACCAUAAUAUGUGGAUGUAACAGUGACGAGCUUAUACUGAAGUUUUCAAGGAAAGAGACGAGUGUCAAAUGGCUCUGGUAUUGAUCAAGUUAAUGUGCAUAUAAUAGGUGAUUCAAUAGAACCAAUAUAAAAAUGUAGCUCCUGUUUGAGAAUGCAUUCUAUAUUUCAUUGUUCACCAACUUCUUUUGAUGGUGUAAGUUUACUGGAGCUAAAUGAUGAAUAUCCAAGUGCUUUGUCUAUUCCAGUAAUCAUUCCCUGGAGGAUGUAGUGUUGAAUGAUAUUUUAGGUUAGGUCUUGGUGUGGUGAAAAUUACAUAGUUCAAUCUUUGAAAUUAGUGUUGUUUGAGGCCGGGGGAAAAACUUCUGACAACAGAUAUCAGGGAACGGAAAGCACCAUAAAAGGUCUUGGAGACUGGCAAAGAGGUCAUUUAGCUCUUUUUUCUAAAAUAUCUUGAGUCAAAUAUGGUCAAGUCUAGUAUGAUCAUUAGAAACUUAUUUCAUUCCUGGUAUGUUGAUCAUUGUAAUCUUGAAUGGUCCAUGAUGGAGCUUAGUGUUGCAUAUCUAUAUCAAAUCUCUUAAUAGUCAAGUUCCCGCUAUCACUUCUAUUGUGUUUUAGUUUUACUUUCACAGUUUCACGGUCUAGGUCGUAUUCUUCGUGCUUGAUUCAUCAUGUUUAAUUCUUCAUAUCCUUGAUUGUUUUUUUUCUUGUCCCAUUUUAUUCCUUGCUUCUGGGUAAAUUGCAGCAAAAGUUUCUACUCUGCUCCGUUUUACUUUUGAUGUGUUCUGCUGGUUAUUGCUUUUGUGUAAAUUUUUGUCUAGAAUUUUGCGGUGCCUGAGGAUCUUUCUACUUAUGAUGGUUUUGAGCUGCGACUUAAAGGUGACGGUCGUCGAUAUAAACUCAUUGUCCGCACUAGCAGCGAUUGGGAUACUGUAGGUUAUAUGGCAAGUUUUGACACAACGGAGGGACAAUGGCAAUCUAUAAAAUUACCGUUUUCCUCAUUGAGGCCUGUACUUUGAGCCCGGACUGUCUUAGACGCUCCGCCCUUCGAUGCACACAAUAUUAGUUCUCUGCAGGUAAUGUUCAAUAAGUUUGAAUAUGAUGGCAAACUGAAUCCAACUUUUGUAGAGGGCCCUUUCCAGCUUCUUCUGUCAGCUGUACGGGCAUACAUGCAGGAACCAAUUACACCAAGAUUCGUCCAUGUGAGCUCUGCAGGAGUUACGCGCCCAGAUAGGCCUGGACUUGAUCUGAGUAAGCAGCCUCCUGCUGUCCGUUUGAACAAGGAACUGGACUUCGUUUUCACA
Long non-coding RNA from Spinacia oleracea (spinach), 1641 nucleotides. RefSeq lists it as uncharacterized. The record is from RefSeq and is a predicted model, not a curated record. The transcript is spliced from 5 exons. Lineage: Eukaryota; Viridiplantae; Streptophyta; Magnoliopsida; Caryophyllales; Amaranthaceae.